GAUGAACGCUGGCGGCGUGCCUAAUACAUGCAAGUCGAGCGAACAGAUGAGGAGCUUGCUCCUCUGACGUUAGCGGCGGACGGGUGAGUAACACGUGGAUAACCUACCUAUAAGACUGGGAUAACUUCGGGAAACCGGAGCUAAUACCGGAUAAUAUAUUGAACCGCAUGGUUCAAUAGUGAAAGACGGUUUUGCUGUCACUUAUAGAUGGAUCCGCGCCGCAUUAGCUAGUUGGUAAGGUAACGGCUUACCAAGGCGACGAUGCGUAGCCGACCUGAGAGGGUGAUCGGCCACACUGGAACUGAGACACGGUCCAGACUCCUACGGGAGGCAGCAGUAGGGAAUCUUCCGCAAUGGGCGAAAGCCUGACGGAGCAACGCCGCGUGAGUGAUGAAGGUCUUCGGGUCGUAAAACUCUGUUAUUAGGGAAGAACAAAUGUGUAAGUAACUAUGCACGUCUUGACGGUACCUAAUCAGAAAGCCACGGCUAACUACGUG
This 497-nucleotide ribosomal RNA is filed under the name uncultured bacterium. RNAcentral describes it as "partial 16S ribosomal RNA". It matches the Rfam family "Bacterial small subunit ribosomal RNA", at positions 28 to 507 of the family's 1533-position model. The record is from RNAcentral.